CAACAGGUAGGAGGAUAUACUCUCGGUUAAGUUUGGGGGGAGGGGGCGCACAGGGCUGAUGAAACUGCAGGUUCACCGGGAAGGAGCCCUCCUUGAGUUUUUUUGUGUGUGGGUUUUGUGUGUGUGUGUGUUUUUACAAUAAACUGCAUAAUGGAAGUACAUUCAGACAAUGCAUCUUCAGUAGGGCUUAUUGAGAGCUCCAUUUCUGGAAAGCGUUGCAAGACUGAGGAAUAUCGGACUGCGAAUCACCGGGAACAGUUCCCUUGCAGCACAGAAGCAACCUCUCUCCCCAUCUUCGCAUAUUCUGAUGGCAAAUCAAGUGAAAGAAAAGAGGAAGCAUGACUGCAGAUCGGAUCCGUUCUCUUUGUGGAUUACAUUUUCAGUAAAAUGUAUGGAUCUAUCUUUUCCUUGUUCUUAUAUCUAGAUCAUGAGACUUGACUGAGGCUGUA
RNAcentral lists this long non-coding RNA (449 nucleotides) under Cervus hanglu yarkandensis (Yarkand deer). Its description in RNAcentral is "lncRNA (ENSCHYG00000010121.1)". The record is from RNAcentral. Lineage: Eukaryota; Metazoa; Chordata; Mammalia; Artiodactyla; Cervidae.